ACUGCUCAGUAACACGUGGAUAACCUGCCCUUGGGACCGGCAUAACCCCGGGAAACUGGGGAUAAUUCCGGAUACCGCAUAUAUGCUGGAAUGCUUUAUGCGUGAAAUGGAUUCGUCUGCCCAAGGAUGGGUCUGCGGCCUAUCAGGUAGUAGUGGGUGUAAUGUACCUACUAGCCUACAACGGGUACGGGUUGUGAGAGCAAGAGCCCGGAGAUGGAUUCUGAGACAUGAAUCCAGGCCCUACGGGGCGCAGCAGGCGCGAAAACUUUACAAUGCGGGAAACCGUGAUAAGGGGACGCCGAGUGCCAGCAUCAUAUGCUGGCUGUCCAGGUGUGUAAAAUACACCUGUUAGCAAGGGCCGGGCAAGACCGGUGCCAGCCGCCGCGGUAACACCGGCGGCCCGAGUGGUGAUCGUGAUUAUUGGGUCUAAAGGGUCCGUAGCCGGUUUGGUCAGUCCUCCGGGAAAUCUGACAGCUCAACUGUUAGGCUUUCGGGGGAUACUGCCAGACUUGGAACCGGGAGAGGUAAGAGGUACUACAGGGGUAGGAGUGAAAUCUUGUAAUCCCUGUGGGACCACCUGUGGCGAAGGCGUCUUACCAGAACGGGUUCGACGGUGAGGGACGAAAGCUGGGGGCACGAACCGGAUUAGAUACCCGGGUAGUCCCAGCCGUAAACGAUGCUCGCUAGGUGUCAGGCAUGGCGCGACCGUGUCUGGUGCCGCAGGGAAGCCGUGAAGCGAGCCACCUGGGAAGUACGGCCGCAAGGCUGAAACUUAAAGGAAUUGGCGGGGGAGCAC
RNAcentral lists this ribosomal RNA (796 nucleotides) under uncultured Methanosarcinaceae archaeon. Its description in RNAcentral is "bacterial SSU rRNA". It matches the Rfam family "Archaeal small subunit ribosomal RNA", at positions 85 to 879 of the family's 1478-position model. Lineage: Archaea; Methanobacteriati; Methanobacteriota; Methanomicrobia; Methanosarcinales; Methanosarcinaceae. The record is from RNAcentral.